RNAcentral lists this ribosomal RNA (829 nucleotides) under uncultured bacterium. Its description in RNAcentral is "bacterial SSU rRNA". It matches the Rfam family "Bacterial small subunit ribosomal RNA", at positions 72 to 916 of the family's 1533-position model. The record is from RNAcentral.
UAGAGAGCUUGCUUUUUAAGCUUAGUGGCGAACGGGUGAGUAACGCGUGAGUAACCUGCCCUAGAGUGGGGGACAACAGUUGGAAACGACUGCUAAUACCGCAUAAGCCCACGGUACCGCAUGGCACUGAGGGGAAAGGAUUUAUUCGCUUUAGGAUGGACCCGCGUCCAAUUAGCUAGUUGGUGAGGUAACGGCCCACCAAGGCGACGAUUGGUAGCCGGACUGAGAGGUUGAACGGCCACAUUGGGACUGAGACACGGCCCAGACUCCUACGGGAGGCAGCAGUGGGGGAUAUUGCACAAUGGGGGAAACCCUGAUGCAGCGACGCCGCGUGGAGGAAGAAGGUUUUCGGAUUGUAAACUCCUGUCGUUAGGGACGAUAAUGACGGUACCUAACAAGAAAGCACCGGCUAACUACGUGCCAGCAGCCGCGGUAAAACGUAGGGUGCAAGCGUUGUCCGGAAUUACUGGGUGUAAAGGGAGCGCAGGCGGGAAGACAAGUUGGAAGUGAAAACCAUGGGCUCAACCCAUGAAUUGCUUUCAAAACUGUUUUUCUUGAGUAGUGCAGAGGUAGAUGGAAUUCCCGGUGUAGCGGUGGAAUGCGUAGAUAUCGGGAGGAACACCAGUGGCGAAGGCGGUCUACUGGGCACCAACUGACGCUGAGGCUCGAAAGCAUGGGUAGCAAACAGGAUUAGAUACCCUGGUAGUCCAUGCCGUAAACGAUGAUUACUAGGUGUUGGGGGAUUGACCCCCUCAGUGCCGCAGUUAACACAAUAAGUAAUCCACCUGGGGAGUACGACCGCAAGGUUGCAACUCAAAUGAAUUGACGG